GGGGCUGACAGGUUUCGACACCAGUUUCGUUGUUCGUACGUGCGACCAGAGUUGCUCAGACUCUCAAAACGGGGCAACAACAAGAAUUGCCAACCAGCAGUUCGCUCUCGCGGCCUAAUCCCCGUUGAGAGACAUCGUGACCAGCAAUGGCGCACGGGGCCAGUUCACCGCAGCCCGGCAACAGAAGCGGAGGAUGACAGCGGGAAAGACAGCUGACGUCGGGAAAGACCGGUGCCAUGCCGGAAAGACGGCACGCGACUCAGGCAACUGAGUAGUCGACCCGCCGGCGGUGUUGCGUCAGCACCGAAGCGGGGAUGGUCGUAUCGCGGGCGCGCAAUGCCUGAUGGACGGGGGUUCGAUUCCCCCCAGCUCCACCG
RNAcentral lists this transfer-messenger RNA (377 nucleotides) under Actinomycetota bacterium. Its description in RNAcentral is "Actinobacteria bacterium transfer-messenger RNA". It matches the Rfam family "transfer-messenger RNA". From Rfam's summary of the family: Bacterial tmRNA, also known as 10Sa RNA or SsrA, is named for its dual tRNA and mRNA-like properties. Its role is to liberate the mRNA from a stalled ribosome. Lineage: Bacteria; Bacillati; Actinomycetota. The record is from RNAcentral.